Long non-coding RNA from Cryptomeria japonica (Japanese cedar), 2753 nucleotides. RefSeq lists it as uncharacterized. The record is from RefSeq and is a predicted model, not a curated record. Lineage: Eukaryota; Viridiplantae; Streptophyta; Pinopsida; Cupressales; Cupressaceae. The transcript has 2 exons.
UCCUUUCCCCUAAGACUCAAAAUUGGCUUGAAUUCUUCUUUAAUUUGAUUUUUACAAUUUCUUCCAACACCUUUAGAAUUUAAUCGAGGGUAUACAUGAAUUAUCUCUGUUUCUGGUGAUUAUUUUAGAAAUAUCUUCACGAUCAAAUCUGUUUCUCUUCUGGUUCAAAAUGUUGGCUUCUCAAUCUGGUUUCUGGUAAGGUCAAGUCAAUCUCUUUUACAGUGAAGUUUAUAUCUCGUAGAUUUGCGGUUUUCUUGCUGCUCUGAAUCGGAUUUAGGGUAAGAUUACGGACAUCUGUUUUUCAAUAAAUGUUUUAUGUAGUGGAUUUGUGCUUUUCUUGCUUUGUAUCGAUGUAAAACACAGGGGUCGUGUUUUGUUCUUAAAUUAUCCAUGUUACUCCAACGAUAUUGUAAAUUAGGCUUCGGAGAAAUCUUAAAAGACCUGUAUUAUGUCAGAGGGUUUCAUUGAGUUGUUAAGAGUGCUCACUCUGGGCUAUUGACAUAUGCUUGUUCGAAUUUUUUGUCAAAUAAACUGCUAUUGUAGGAAUUAUUGGACGCUCUGUUCUAACCAAUCGUUUAUUGGUGACGGCAAACCCUACUUCUGGAUAUGUAGAGCAGCAGAGAUGAGAAUAUUAAAUCUUCUUUUGUUUUUAAGGGGUUGCUCAGAGAGUUUCAGAAAAUUAUGCAAUGAAACAAUUCCGGCAGAAGUACUGAGCAUCUAUCUCUGCUGCUGGUUUCAGUGUUCAACAUGUCAAUUUACGAGUAAGUAAUUGUAACCCUGCAAAUCGAUUUCAGUUUGUCAGAUCUCCAUCUUUAAAUUCGUGAGCAACAACUGCAAACUUAUGGUUCCUAGAACCAGCUAGAAUAAUGUUUCCAAAACCAAUAUUUGCACCAAAUUUCACACGAACGAUUUUAAUUCAAAUUUGCAGUAGCUCAUUUUUUUCUAUUUUUCUUUGGGAAAUUUCCUGCAAGAUUGCAGCAUAAUAACAAGGGUCACACCCCUCUCAAUCGAGCCCCAGGGGCCAAUAUAAAUCCAACCAGAUUUGAAUCUGGGUAAUGGAUCUAGAGUUCAGAUUCCUAUCUCACACCCACUGGAUUGCAAACAAAUAAUUGUCAACGGUCUCCCCUGAUCCAGAGGAGGGUUUACCCUGUUAAAUUGCACCUUUGGCUAAAAAUAGCUUCAAGUGCUGCCUAUGCUCUGGGGUUUUCUGAUAUUCAGCGACAACUUUCAUAAUAUGGUGAUAAUCUUUAUACCAAGUAUUUGAAUGAGAUAGUUCUUCAAUUCCACCUAGGGUUGUAGAUUAAAUUGUUAGAUUUUGUUUACCAUGGUAAUUGCAAUGGCUCUAUAUAUCUGCAUACUUCAGAGUGUUUCUACUUUCUAGAGGUUGGGUGUUUUUUAAACACGUUAUUUAGCGUAUUUCGGUUCCUUACCUAAUUUCUAGAUUACAAAUUAACAGACAUAACUUCUCAAAGUUUGAGCGUAUUACAAGUUAAUCAAAUGGUAGUGAAUUUGGCUCUCUGCAGAAGUGACCUACAAUAAAUAGUACAGUUUCUUGGCAUAUAUUGGCCCACUUUGAAUGUAUUGGUUCCUUUUUCAUCUAGGUGCUAGGAAGCAAGAUCCUUUGAUGAUUAAGUUGUACUAACACAGCAACCUUCACAUUUACAUUUCAAAAACAGUUCUUAUGGAUAGUGGUAGCAUCCUUGAAAGUUAGAAACUAUAUUUUUUUUUUUAGAUCUAUUAAUGUGUAUCAUAUAGCAAGCACUAUGGCCCAAAAGGUGCACAGAGAUCACGAGCCUGCCAGACCCAGUGGAGGCUUGAGCCUGGGUCGAUGCAAUAACAGUGCCACCUGUGACCAUUACAUGAUGCCCUCAACAGUUGUAUUUUUCCAAUUUUAUUACUUAUAUGGCAUGAGUUUAUGUUCAACUUAUAAAAAAUAUUUACUUAAAUGUUUCCCAUUUCACCAGUCAUUCUAUCAUGUUAACUAGAAACGUGUGUCAUAAAAAAUGUAUGCAAUGAACUCCCAUCACACAUUUCAUAGAAGGGGCUCUCUAACUUGGAAGGCUAUCUAGUUUCUAGAAUGUAUCAAAAUAUACAUGCCUCUCAUGUAUCAUAAUAGAUACCUUGGUGCAUCCUAAAGACUGGAUAGUCAUUUCUCUAAACAGAAAGGAAUGUAUUUCUCACAAAUAAACCCAAUCUCAUAUGACUGUAUACAACUCCCCAAGUUUUUUAUUCUACCUUUAUUAAAUAUUUUUGGAAGUACUAGCUGCAAUUAACUUAUUUUUUACUACACUAAAAAUAUAUUCUAUAGAAGAGUUUCCAUGAGUUAUGAAGAUUACCCAUUCUGAGAUGUACUGACGUAUAUGCUUAGUUUGAAUUUUCUGUCAAACAAGCUGCUAUUGUAGGAAUUGUCAGAUGCUCUAUUCUAAUCUACGGUUAAUCGGGGAGGGCAAACCCUACUUCUGGAUAUGCAUAGCAGCAGAAAUGAGGUUAUUAAACAUUCUUUCCUUGUUAAGGAAGAUCUUUCUGUCUUCUAUUCUGUUAAUGUAUAUGUAGAAAUUCGAAUCUGCAUAGUAUUUUCCUGUCCUUCCUCCCUUCUUUGUGUUGAGUAAUCUUAGAUGGUUGUUCGUGCUUGAUCUAUCUACAAAAUUAUGCCCGAAUGGAUGCAAUGACAGUGGCACCAGGAACCAUUGCAUGAUGCCCUCAACAGUUGUAUUUUUCAAAUUUAUAAAAAUCAAAAUUGUUACCUAUUUGAA